CCCUCAGCCUUCACAAGCACAAUAGAGCCAGCCCAAUUUAGCCCAAAGAGAGUCCAGCUUGGACACGAUUUUGGUGGGGGAGGCGGGUGCGAGUCGCGGAUUGGCGCUGCCGGGGGCGAUUGCGACGAUCAGCGGUGGCUCGUGCGCGCCGGCCGGCGGGCCGGCAGCUGCUCAACCGGGAUUUCGUCUCCAUCUUCAACACCGAGAAGCAGGAGAGAUCUCAGGGCGGGCAGUGUCCAAGUCCGGCAAACUCGAGUACAAGAACCUAAACAUCAAAGGGAGAACGUGAAUCCUAUUGGCUUACCUCAAGUUGCUCAGAAAUUCAGAAACUUGGAUGAUGCUUGGUCAUUUUGGGUGAACUAUGGAGGUCGUGCAGGUUUUGAGAUCAGAAAAAGGUACAAAAAUGAAAGUAAAUAUGAUGGAAAGGUAACUUCAUGUAGGUAUGUUUGUGCCAAGGUGGGUCGUCGAGCACAAGAUAAGAGGGAUCAUCUCAUGAAGAAUCCUCGAGCUGAAACAAGAACAUGUUGUCCAGUUCGGAUGGGUCUUACAUUGGACAGAGGGACAGGAAAUUAUGAAUUGGUUGACCUCAUGCUUGUACACAAUCAUGGUCUUUAUUUGCAACAAACUUUCCAUUUGAUGUCAUCACAAAGGAUAUUUCGGAAGUGCAAGCUUUUGAAAUUGAGACUGCUGAUGAUUCUGGAAUUAGGCCAAAGCUGCACAAGAGUAUGCUUGUCGCCAAGUAGGAGGAGCAAUGAAUCUCAGUUAUACUCCUCGUGAUCACAGAAACCAUUUGCAGGGCAGACGCCAAAGGGAGUUAGCAUAUCGUCAGGCAGGAAGCAUGUUGAAAUAUUUUGAAGACAAGAUCAGUGAGAACCCUUCUUUUCAAUAUGCUUUGCAGUUAGACUGUCAAGAACAUAUAACAAAUAUAUUCUGGGUUGAUGCUAAGAUGAUCAUUGAUUAUGCACACUUUGGGGAUGUUGUCACCUUUGAUACUACUUUUGGCACAAAUAAAGAGUAUAGGCCCUUUGGUGUUUUCAUUGGUUUCAAUCAGUUCAGAGAGACAGUUAUUUUUGGUGCUGCUAUUUUGUUCGAUGAAACAUGUGCCUCUUUCACGUGGCUAUUUGAGGCUUUCCUAACUGCCCAAAAUGGAAAGCAACCUAGAGCUAUAUUUACCGAUCAAGACGCUGCAAUGGGAAAUGCUGUUGGAAAGGUAUUCACUGAAGCAUGGCAUGGAUUGUGCACAUAUCACGUAAUGCAGAAUGCUGUCAAGCACUUAUGGCAAGAGCAAAGAUGAGGAAUCCAAUUCCCCCGAGGGAAUAAAAGAGGCAGAUGAAGAACCUCAUGUUCUCUUAGAUUUUAGUGCUUGCAUGUAUAACAUUGAAGACAAGGCAGCCUUUGAAGAAGCAUUUGACAUCAUGAUGAAUAAGGUGGAUAAGAAGAAGACAUCAUGGCUUGAUAGCAUCUACAAGUUCAAGGAAAAAUGGGCAGAAUGUUACAUGACGGAUGUUUUCACAUUGGGAAUGAGAAGCACACAAUUGAGUGAGAGUUUCAAUAGCGACUUCAAAAAACAUCUGAAAUCAUAUUUUGACAUCAUUCGGUUCUUAAAGCACUUUGAAAGGGCGGUGCAAGGAAAGAGAAACAAGGAACUAGAUGCAGAAUUUGAAGCUAGAAAAAAGCUACCUAGAAUAAGUAUGAAGACACCUAUGCUACAACAAACAAGCAAACUUUACACACACCAUAUUUGAAGCAUUCCAAACCGAAUAUGAAAGAUCCAUGGCUGCAUGUGCUAGGGCGUUGGAUGGAAAUAAUACAUAUGUUGUUGCAAUUGUGCGGGCCGAUGGAGAUUUAAGUUGUGAACAAGAGCGCAUUGUGGUUGGUGAUCCUUUGGCGCAAACAGCUUCAUGUAGUUGUGGGCAGUUUAAAAGGACCGGAGUAUUGUGUCGCCUUGCUUUGAAAGUUCUUGACAUGAUGAAUAUUAAGUUAUUACCGAACCAUUAUAUUCUGAAGCGGUGGACAAGGGAGGCAAGGUAUGAAACUAUACAAGACAACAAAGGGAGGAGCAUUAUUGAAAAUCCAAAAUUGGAUGCUAUGCUGCGGUACAAGUUUUUGUCUCACAAUUUUUUUUAAUUUGGCAUAUCAAGCUGCAAGCUCUCCUGAAUGUUGUCUGUUGGUGGACAAUACACUUGACAGCCUUGGGACCUGGUGUGUUUGAUGAUAUGCAUGUUGAAGAUCUUCUUUAGAGCUUUGUUUCAUUAUCUCCUGCUACACUGAGUCUAUUUUGCUAUUUUCGGAUGAACAUGUUGACCAGUUGCUGAAAGACUGUGCUAAUCUGCUGUAGUAGUAACCAUCGUGCUGCAGAUUAUUUUGGUUUUUUGGAGCAUGAAUUAUGUGCUAAUAUGUUGUAGUAUGAGAUUUACUGGUUGAUCAAGAAACUAAUUUGUACUGA
Brachypodium distachyon (stiff brome) is the source of this 2446-nucleotide long non-coding RNA. RefSeq lists it as uncharacterized. The record is from RefSeq and is a predicted model, not a curated record. Lineage: Eukaryota; Viridiplantae; Streptophyta; Magnoliopsida; Poales; Poaceae. The transcript has 3 exons.